UUCAAAAUUGGGGGUACAUCUUAAAGAUGCGUAAUUUAUACUUUUCUUUAGCAAAAUCAUGUGACGAAAGGGGGGGGGGGGGUCUAACUCCCGGAUCCCCUCUGGAUCCGCCACUGAUUACAAACUUCAGACAGUCUUUGAUUCCUUGAUGCAUUUGAGUAUGAAUUAUUUUCUUUUAUUUCUAAAGAAUAAAUACUUGUAUCAAUUUCGAAAUUACACAUAAUUGCCUAGUUUAACAUUUUUUUUUUUAUACUAGCAAGUAUUCUUCUAUCCCAACAUUCGAACGCAUGAAUUAUCCCCCCCCCCUCCCCAUUAGGCAACCAGUCCAAGCUGCUACCAUCUCUAUGUGCAAUAUCGAUUGAUAGAUAUAUUAUAGGAUUGAACAUUCUUUUUAAAGAAUUUAUCGAUGUGUAAACUCUGGACAUUUUACUCACAAACGGAGUAAAAGUGCAAGGCACUUUUAUGUUAAGUUUGUGUGUAAAAUGUUCAGAAUUUACUCAUAAUAAAUUCUUCCAAAAAAAAAAAAAGGUUUGAUUCCCUGUAUUAUCAAUUUCAAAAAUUUGAAUAGUUUUCCCGCACUGUUAUUUGUUUUCAGGCGAGUACAUGUACGUAUGCAUAGCGUUUUUGGAUUUAUUGAUGUGUAAAUUCACGAUUAGAUUUGUUUUUGUCCAAUCAAAACAAUUGUAAUAAAUAACAUUAGAAUUAUACUACAUUAUUUAUCAUUACUUGUUUUUGGCACCAGCGUAUUUUGUUUAAUUUUGUAGGCGGUGGACCAGCGGGAAAGCCUUUAACGCCAUUAGCAGAAGCAGUUGGGAGUGUUAUUGGUACCAACAAUAUAAGUAUCAGUGGGAUCCCUGGUACAGUUGACACAACAUAUCUAAUGCUCGACAGACCAAAGAUCAGCACGGAAACCACAGCGAGUACGAUUGAAUCAGAUGGCCUUGUGACUCAAGAUCUCCAUGUCAUCAGCACCAGUGAAUCUGGAGAUGGGCAGCAACAAAUAAACUUUGUUACUGUCCCACAGCCAAACGCAUGUCCUACCAAUGUUUGCACCCACACCGUAAUUGACCCGCAUCUGCAAAAGCAGAAGCUAGAACUAGAAAUUGAGAAUCUCACCCUCCGAAACAAGUUUAUACGACUUCAGAUAGAAAGAAUUGAAGGAGUAGAUACAAGUAGUGAAUUAUAAGCGCUUUGACACGAAUUUACUCACAUUUAGUAAUUAUCAAAUAGUUCUAUAAUCUUGAAUUAAAUAAUGUUGCCAGUACUUUUUUGAUUAUCUGUAUCUUUUCAUUUACUGUUACGCAGUGACCACAUACCUGUUUACAUAAAAUGAGCAGAAACAAUGUGGUUUCUGUAAGCUCGACCAUCUGUACCCUGGAUAUCUGCAACUAUGUGGUCAUUGGCAUUUAAAUUGCCAUUGUAAGCAUCUGCGUUGUCAUCAUCGUCAGGGAGGGGCAGAUUGAACAUUUUUGCGAUGUUAUGUAAAACUCCGCAUGCUAUGAUGACAUUGCUGGCACGUUGAGGAUGCUGACGUAUUUCUCCAUGAAGAACAUGGAACCGUCUUUUUAAGUGACCAAUUGUUCUCUCAACAAGGGUGCGAGUGCACUUAUGCGACCUUUUAAAAAUGAAGAUAUACUUUGAGAAAAAUAAUUGGGGGGGGGGGGUGUCAGAGGUGUGUGUUACAUUCAUAUAUAGAUAGAGAAGAAAGAGAGAUGUGUGUGAAUGAAAAUAUGCAGUUCCAAAGUAUAUCCACAUGAAGAUGGAUAUUAGAAUCCAGAAUGCGUUAGUGUUUUGAAUAUACUUUUGAGCUGUAUAUUUUCUUUCUUUCUUUUUUUUAAUCUAUUAUUUUUGUACUCUAUGUUAGUCCCUAAGCCAUGUUUUUUCUAAAGUUUUAAAGAUACACGCAUGUCAACAACAAAAAUUCGACUUGUAUCUUUCGUAAUAGUUAACAUGAAUGAUAUCUAUGUUUGUUAUGCAGAAUGGGGAGAGCAAAUUUAAACUGGGUCGAAAUGCCUCGGUACCGUUUACCGAAAGCAGCAACCCCAACAAUUUGGAUGAACAGCAGCGUCCUCGUCAUGAUGGGUGUGCUGCUAGAGAAUUUGAGAAUAUUUCUCGUAAUAUAAGCGAUAAGUGUUUAUUUUUCAAAGUGCUCCAAUAUAUAUUAGGCCCUAAUUUCCUUACCUGUUGUACCGUGACUGUGGACCAGCUUGUGGAUUUAAAAAAGGUGUCAGCAGCCAGUCUUUCCCAGGAUAACCGCUAUCACCGAGAAGAUGGCAUUUCACGGGCAAUAAACGUCGUUGAAAGAGCUGAAAUAGACCACUCUCCCUCAGUAUUCUGGCAUCGUGAGUCGCUCCCGGCCAGCUUGCCACGAUGUCUUAAAUCUUAUAACUGGCAUCACAUACAAUCUGUACAUUUAUACUGUGAAAGUUUUUCCGGUUGACAUACUCCACUUCGUGUUCACUGGGAGCUAUAAUUCGCACAUGAGUUCCAUCAAUCGCCCCAACCACGCCAGGGAAACCAGCAAUGGUAAAAAAGUCAACCUGGUGCUUUCGAAUAGUUCCUGGGUCCAUUGGAAAGGAAACGAAUCGCUUGACAAUAUUUGGUUGAACAAGAGCCGUAGUAACUCUUUGAAUUAUUCUUGAAACCGUUGACUGGUGAAGACCAAAGUUGUCACCACUACAUAGCUGCAUCUUACCUGUAGCAUAGUAUCUCAAGGCAACCAUGACUUGCACAAUUGCAGGUACACUGUGAUUUCUGUUGGUCAAAGGCAUAAUGUCAUAUUGAAUUAAAUCUGUUAUAAAUUCAAUUCCUUCCUGAUCAAAUCUAAAUCUGUGCUGCAGUUCUGCUGCUGUCAUUGAUUCUAAGGGAUUAAUUCGUGGUUUGAAUGUUCUCUGUUUUCUGUCAGCCAUUUUGUUCUUGCUAAGCAAUAUGCUUAAGAACUUAAGACAAGUAAAGACCAUGCUUAAAUUUAAGCAUAUACUUAAGAGUUAAGAAGUUUUAUGCAAUCUGCUAAGCAAUAUGCUAAGUAAAAUCUCAACCUGCUAAGCAAGAAAUUCAUACUUAAGUAUAUGCUUAAGGACUUAAGAAUUUUUAUGCAUACGACUCCUGGUAUAUCCAGGAGUCCCUGCUUGCCUAACUCCCUAUUUUGUAGUCCUUAUAAGUUAUCUUCACAUUUCAUCAUUUACCUCUAUUGCAUAUAUUUUGUAAAAACCUUUUUCAUAUGUAUUGAUGUAACGAGGUAGAGAAGGACACAAUAAUAGAUAAAUGUCGGAUCAAGUGAAAAAGAGAAAACUAUGUUCCUAUCCCCCCCCCUUAAAAAUUAAAAGGAUUAUAUGACAACGUGGAAUUAUGAUAUUACUAGCAGUAGUGAGUUUGACAUGCAUUGCAUUAUGUUUAAUUGUUUUAUCAAUUGAAUUUGUCCCAAAAACUCAAGAAAAUUGAAAUCAUUGCUACUACUAUUACAGCUGUAUUUAUAGAAUGCUAUUGUCCUGAAAAUCAUUAAUUAACAUUUUUCUUUUCUCUCUCAAUAAUGAAAAUUGUUAAUCAAUGAAAGUCUUCUGCUCACUUCUGUCAUUGCUGCACUGUGGUGAAUUUGCAAAAUUGGUUUUAAAGCUAAAUUACACUGUACAACUUUGUUGUAAAAUCUAAACUAUUUCAUUUGGAACAAUUUCAUUCUUUUUGUUGUCCUUCGUGAUUUCCAUACAUGACAAACUCGUCUAGACCUGUUAAUAUAGACUAACUUGUAAAUAAUCUGAUUUAGAUUCUAGUUUAUGGUUUUAGGCAUGUUUUCGUUGUUUGUAAGGACAGCAUAUUUUGUUAAACUGAAAACUUUUGUAGUUACAAAUUAACAUGAUAUCAGAUAACUGUUUUACACACUGAAUCACUAGUCAUUUUGUUUCCAAGCGCAGAACCGAGGAGGAGCUAAGCAAGAUUGACUGUUUUGACAACCACAUCAGAUUAAAAGUUCGUGCACACAAGGUGUCGUGAUUGGUUUUGUCAUGCAUUGGGGAAGGGGGAAGUUUUAUCAAAUGGAAAUACAGUUCAGGGAAAUAUGGUAUAGAUGUAUUUUGCCACAAAGAAACAAUCUUUUUGUGUGAAAAGUGCAAAAGACACACUAAACAUUACUUGAUAAAUAUUGAAAAGUUUUUAUGAAAUCAAUUUUUUUUUAAUAACGGGGUUUAUAGUAAAAACAUUUUUUAUUCCCUGAUGGAAUUGAAGCAUGUUCAUAAUAUAUAUUGUAUGUACAUCAAUUAUUUACGAAUAUUUAUAUACUUACGACAAUUAUGCACAGAAGAAAUGGACAAGCAUUGUGAACAGAAAGUAUGAGUCACAAAACCUGAAACCAAAGAAGAUUCAAGGAUAUGUUAAGAGUAUUUUGAAGAUGACAGAUGUGCUACCUUAAACCCCUUCCCUACACUAAACUUAGGUUACACACCCCACAAACCUAUCACGUUUAGGUCUCCACCUACGGAAUAAUCAGACGUUCACCAAAACAACAAAGGAAAACCAAAGAAACUUCAUUCUACAGCAGAUUUACAUCCAUGUUUGACCCAGCAAUCCAUUUCAGACUUAAAUUUUGAAGUUGAGCAAAGUUUACAUGUAUUCAAGGAAAUUGAAAACUGAAAUUCCAAAUACAUUAUCCAAGAUGUAUGACAUAAGAACACAUAUUAAAUGAAUUAUAAAUUUA
Molecule: long non-coding RNA, 4687 nt
Organism: Ostrea edulis (European flat oyster)
Lineage: Eukaryota; Metazoa; Mollusca; Bivalvia; Ostreida; Ostreidae
Exons: 2
Source: RefSeq, a predicted model, not a curated record